This 64-nucleotide transfer RNA is filed under the name Hyphomicrobium denitrificans. It matches the Rfam family "tRNA", at positions 6 to 65 of the family's 71-position model. Rfam says of the family: Transfer RNA (tRNA) molecules are approximately 80 nucleotides in length. Their secondary structure includes four short double-helical elements and three loops (D, anti-codon, and T loops). The record is from RNAcentral. Lineage: Bacteria; Pseudomonadati; Pseudomonadota; Alphaproteobacteria; Hyphomicrobiales; Hyphomicrobiaceae.
CGUAGCUCAGUUGGAUAGAGCAUCUGCCUUCUAAGCAGAGGGUCGCAGGUUCGAAUCCUGCCGG